AGCAUAUCAAUAAGCGGAGGAAAAGAAACCAACAGGGAUUGCCCUAGUAACGGCGAGUGAAGCGGCAACAGCUCAAAUUUGAAAUCUGGCCCUCGGGUCCGAGUUGUAAUUUGUAGAGGAUGCUUUUGGUGCAGUGCCUUCCGAGUUCCUUGGAACAGGACGCCUUAGAGGGUGAGAGCCCCGUACGGUUGGACACUAAGCCUCUGUAAAGCUCCUUCGACGAGUCGAGUAGUUUGGGAAUGCUGCUCUAAAUGGGAGGUAAAUUUCUUCUAAAGCUAAAUACCGGCCAGAGACCGAUAGCGCACAAGUAGAGUGAUCGAAAGAUGAAAAGUACUUUGAAAAGAGGGUUAAAUAGCACGUGAAAUUGUUGAAAGGGAAGCGUUUAUGACCAGACCUUUGCUAGGCGGAUCAUCCGGUGUUCUUCACCGGUGCACUUCGCUUAGCUUAGGCCAGCAUCGAUUUCUGUAGGGGGAUAAAGGCCAUGGGAACGUAGCUCUCUUCGGGGAGUGUUAUAGCCCUAGGUGUAAUACCCUUACGGGGAUCGAGGUUCGCGCUUCUGCAAGGAUGCUGGCGUAAUGGUCAUCAACGACCCGUCUUGAAACACGGACCAAGGAGUCGAACAUUUAUGCGAGUGUUUGGGUGUUAAACCCUCACGCGUAAUGAAAGUGAACGGAGGUGAGAGCCCGUAAGGGUGCAUCAUCGACCGAUCCUGAUGUCUUCGGAUGGAUUUGAGUAAGAGCAUAACUGUUCGGACCCGAAAGAUGGUGAACUAUGCGUGGAUAGGGUGAAGCCAGAGGAAACUCUGGUGGAGGCUCGCAGCGGUUCUGACGUGCAAAUCGAUCGUCAAAUCUGCGCAUGGGGGGCGAAAGACUUAUCGAACCAUCUAGUAGCUGGUUACCGCCGA
Molecule: ribosomal RNA, 904 nt
Filed under: Eutypella parasitica
Lineage: Eukaryota; Fungi; Ascomycota; Sordariomycetes; Xylariales; Diatrypaceae
Description: LSU rRNA
Rfam family: Eukaryotic large subunit ribosomal RNA
Source: RNAcentral